Molecule: ribosomal RNA, 454 nt
Filed under: uncultured Leptolinea sp.
Lineage: Bacteria; Bacillati; Chloroflexota; Anaerolineae; Anaerolineales; Anaerolineaceae
Description: bacterial SSU rRNA
Rfam family: Bacterial small subunit ribosomal RNA
Source: RNAcentral
GGGGCCCCGCACAAGCAGCGGAGCGUGUGGUUUAAUUCGAUGCUACACGAAGAACCUUACCAGGGUUUGACAUGCAAGUGGUAGGAAACCGAAAGGCGACCGACCCUUCGGGGAGCUUGCACAGGUGCUGCAUGGCUGUCGUCAGCUCGUGUCGUGAGAUGUUCGGUUAAGUCCGCUAACGAGCGCAACCCUCGCUGUGUGUUACAAGUGUCACACGGUACUGCCGGUCUUAAGCCGGAGGAAGGUGGGGAUGACGUCAAGUCAGCAUGGCCUUUAUGUCCUGGGCUACACACACGCUACAAUGGCCAACACAAUAGGUUGCUAAGCCGCGAGGUGGAGCCAAUCCUCAAAGUUGGUCUCAGUUCAGAUUGCAGGCUGCAACCCGCCUGCAUGAAGAUGGAGUUGCUAGUAACCGCAGGUCAGCUAUACUGCGGUGAAUACGUUCCCGGGGCUU